GAAGCAAACACAAGGACCGAAGGAACCAGCUUGAGCCUGCAGGGAAAAUACCAGGUCAAAGAGAAGACCGUCCUCAGGUAUGAAACGUGCAAGACCAGCUGAAUCACUGAGCAGAAGCGAGGGGCUUUCUAACUCAUCCUGAGCUGUGUCGCCUCCUGUCCUUACUGAAUCAGGUGACGGGAAUGGCCUGAAGUCCUGCAUGUAAAAGAGAAAAAGAAGAAAGAAAAUCGGGUUGUGCAACUUUUCCAGCCCCUCCCAUCCUCCUCCUGCUGCCAGAGGACCCUCCCAAACCCACCUCUUCCUUCUCUGCUUCACGCCCUUCAAGCAGCCCUCAUGGAGCCGCAGAUGGAUCGAGAGGCCCGGCCGGCCCGCCGGCGUUCAUCGGGUGGGCGAAGCUCCUUCAGCAGGAGCGCUGCAGCGGGCCCGGUGCGCUUCUGGACGGGCUGUGUCAUCUUCUGCCUUCUUCCUUCCUCUGCCUUCCUCGCCCCUGCUGCUGCUCCAGACUUGAGCCAGGUGUCACCCUUCUCCUUAAACCGGAGACUGGGAAAGACGCCCCUUCCUGAACGGGGCUGGUCCCAUUCACGUCUCCGUCCUGAAGCUCCUUAUGCCAGGAUUGGGCCAGAGCCGACGGUCCAUCCGUGCUUCUCUGAGUGAGUCCGCGUUCCAGAGCUGAUUAGCCGGGAGACUU
Cervus elaphus (red deer) is the source of this 688-nucleotide long non-coding RNA. RefSeq lists it as uncharacterized. Lineage: Eukaryota; Metazoa; Chordata; Mammalia; Artiodactyla; Cervidae. The record is from RefSeq and is a predicted model, not a curated record. The transcript has 3 exons.